This 468-nucleotide ribosomal RNA is filed under the name Trimeresurus gumprechti (Gumprechts green pitviper). RNAcentral's name for it is "partial 16S large subunit ribosomal RNA". It matches the Rfam family "Bacterial large subunit ribosomal RNA", at positions 1922 to 2608 of the family's 2925-position model. The record is from RNAcentral. Lineage: Eukaryota; Metazoa; Chordata; Lepidosauria; Squamata; Viperidae.
AUUAAACGGCCGCGGUAUCCUAACCGUGCAAAGGUAGCAUAAUCAUUUGUCUAUUAAUUGUAGACCUGUAUGAAAGGCAAAAUGAGAGCCCAACUGUCUCUUAUAACAAAUCAAUAAAACUGAUCUCCUAGUACAAAAGCUAGAAUACUAACAUAAGACCAGAAGACCCUGUGAAGCUUUAACAAACCCAUUAAAUCAAAUAAUGAUUACUUUCGGUUGGGGCGACCUUGGAAUAAAAAAGAACUUCCAACAUAUGACCUGCUCAUAAAAUAAGGCAAACAAGCCAAUACUAGACCCAGCACAGCUGAUAAUUGAAAUAAGUUACUCCAGGGAUAACAGCGCUAUCUUCUUUAAGAGCCCAUAUCAAAAAGAAGGUUUACGACCUCGAUGUUGGAUCAGGACAUCCCAGUAAUGCAUCCGUUACUAAAGGUUCGUUUGUUCAACGAUUAACAGUCCUACGUGAUCUGC